Long non-coding RNA from Myxocyprinus asiaticus (Chinese sucker), 2785 nucleotides. RefSeq lists it as uncharacterized. The record is from RefSeq and is a predicted model, not a curated record. Lineage: Eukaryota; Metazoa; Chordata; Actinopteri; Cypriniformes; Catostomidae. The transcript is spliced from 3 exons.
UUGAGAUGUUCACCAAAGCUAACACUUGCUCUGUUCCAAAACCUAGUGAGCUCCCAAUACAGAGGCGUCAUUUUAAGGCAUCAUAGGUGCACACCCGGUGUGAAGGCUGCAGUGCAUGUAUCCAGUGGGUGCAGUGUUGGCCUUUGGAACUGCCAGUCAGCUGUAAACAAAGCUGAAUUCAUUUCUGCCAUUUCUAGCCAAUCAUCUCUCAACAUCCUAUCCUCUGGGAGCCUCUGCCCUCUCCACCAACUUCAGGGGGAGGGGUGGGGGAACAGGUUUGCUUAUCUUCAAUACAUGGAAAUUUACGCCUCUGUCCUCUUUGUGUGACAAUAACUCCUUUGAACUUAAUGCCAUUACUAUCACCCAUCCUGUAAAAAUCAAUUUUGUAGUUAUAUAUCGUCCCCUAAGUAAGCUAGGAAACUUUUUGGAGAAGCUGGAUGUGCUACUAUCAUCCUUCCCUGCCGCAGACUUUCAUACUUUGCUUGCCUCAUUUGACCCAAAUGCAUCACAACUGCAGCAACUCACAAAUCAGGUAACCAGCUGGACCUCAUCUACACACGCAACUGUACCACUUACCAUGUUCUGGUUACUCCACACUUCCCAUCAUUUCUUCCUUAGGUUUAACAUACUGUAUAUCUGCAUAACAUAACACCUUGCCUGCCAAACACUCCUCCUCAGGUGUCAUUUCAACAUAAUCUCCACUCUCUCUCACCUACCUGUCUUUCCACUAUGGUCUCAUCCUCUUUUCCCUCCUCUAACCAGUUCUCCUUGCUUGAUGUCAAUAAUGCUACUAACAUUUAUAAUGCUACAACACUAACAAUGCUCCACUUUAACAUCUCGUCUCUAGACUAUAUCUGUCCCAUCUCCAUACUGUCCUAUCACCCACUGCUUAAGAAACCCACACUAAACCCUGCACUCUUAGAAAAUUACAGACCACUCUUUCUCCUCCCCUUCAUAGCAAAAACACUUGAACUAGUUGUGUUCAACCAGGCCUCCUCUAUUCUCUCCCAGAACAACCUGCAGGACAGUAACCAGUCUGGCUUCAAAAGUGGACACUCAACUGAGACUUCCUUGCUGUCCGUCACCGAAGCACUGCGGCUGGCAAAAGCAGCAUCCAAAUCAUCUGUUCUCAGUCUGCUUGAUCUGUCUGCUUCUUUCUAUAUGGUUAACCAACAGAUCCUACUUUUCCAUCCUCAUGGAAUGGAAAAUCAUCACAGGCAUCACAGGAACCACACUCCGCUGGUUUGAGUCUUACCUCACAGCCUGACGAUCCUACGGUAGCUGCACGGAUCUCAGCCUGCUUGUUAGACAUCUCAAGGUAGAUGAAAAAACACUACCUCAAACUUAACCUAGCAAAGACGUAACUUCUCGUUCUUCUAGCGAGCCCAUCUAUGCAACAUAACUUCACCAUUCAGCAAGACUUGUCAACUAUUACACCAUCCAGGACAGCUAGAAACCUUGGGGUUGUGUUUGACGAUCAGUUGAACUUCACGGACCACAUCGCAAAGACAGCCUGAUCAUGCAGAUUUGCACUGUACAACAUUAGGAAGAUCAGACCUUUCUUGUUUGAGCAUGCUACACAACUUCUUCUCCAAGCUCUUAUCAUACAGUAUCUAGACUGGACUACUGAAAUGCUCUUCUGGCAGGACUUUCUGCAUAAACAUUCAAACCUCUGCAAUUAAUCCACAACGUGGCAGUGCGUUUGGUUUUCAAUGAGCCCAAGACAGCGCAUGUUACACCCCUCUUUUACGAACUUCGCUGGGUGCCAUUGGUUGCUAACGUCAAGUUCAAUCCAAUUACAGAAAAACCACUGGUUCUGAAUAGCCCUAAAGUAAUAAACUCGAUUAAGCUCAAUUUGGUUAAUUUACAUUUAAACUUACAGUACAUACAUUCAGACUCCAUUCAACAUAUUUUGGGUUUUUAUAAAAUGUAUACCUUUAAAAAAUUUUAAGAUUACAUUUUAAAAAUCUCCCAUUGACUUCCAAGUGAUGACAUCAUCGUAAUAUUGGAAUACUGAAUUUGGACUGGUCUUGUCUUCCUUGCAUUAUUUAACCAUUUUGAAUCAGCAGCAUGAAACUUACAGAGUGACCAGUGUAAUCCAAUUCCUGCCAAUGACUCUUAUGAGCCAGUUCAUUUGAUUGUACAACGUGAACCAUACAGCGCGACCAGUGUAGUCCGAUUCCCGAAUGAAUGAAUGAAUGACUCUUAUGAGCGGGUUCUUUUCAAUCUACAGCACGAAACAUACACCAUAACCAGUGUAGUGCAAUUUACGAAUGAGUGACUCGUAUGAGAUUCUUUUGAAUCUAUAAAGCAAAGCAUGUGAUGUUUCCUACUGAACAAAUGAAUUUCAUCAGCCUUUUCUUUUUAGUGAAUCAAAAACGUACUGAACCACAAGUCAUUCAUUUUGUCAUGUCUGACUUGGAAUGAACCAAGAAUGACAAGAAUUCAGAGUAAUUACUGGAUGGUUGUUAAUAGUAGUUAAAGAUACACUUGAUGAGUUUUGUUUUAAUUAGUGGUAUUUUAUAAAAAUGAAUGAAUUAAUAAAAUAAAAUAUCUUAACGUUAUAAAUAACACCAUUUCCUAGAAUCUGUUCUGUUAAAAUAUGAAAUGAUCUCAUCAGAUGGUAACAGACUAAUAAGAAUUGAAUUUCUUAUUUCCAAAUAUUUCUUCCUCAAAAGAACUAAAAGAAUCAUUAAUGAAACCGUUAAGGAACCGUAAUUUUUAAGAGGAAUUAAAAUGUGAAACCGGAAUCGUUAAAUUCCUUAAAAGUGAAGACACAGUGUUA